AAUAGAUACCCGGGUAGUCCACGCCGUAAACGAUGAGUGCUAAGUGCUAGAGGGUUUCCGCCCUUUAGUGCUGCAGCUAACGCAUUAAGCACUCCGCCUGGGGAGUACGGUCGCAAGACUGAAACUCAAAGGAAUUGACGGGGGCCCGCACAAGCGGUGGAGCAUGUGGUUUAAUUCGAAGCAACGCGAAGAACCUUACCAGGUCUUGACAUCCCACUGACCGGUAUAGAGAUAUACCUUUCCCUUCGGGGACAGUGGUGACAGGUGGUGCAUGGUUGUCGUCAGCUCGUGUCGUGAGAUGUUGGGUUAAGUCCCGCAACGAGCGCAACCCUUGAUUCUUAGUUGCCAGCAUUUAGUUUGGGCACUCUAAGGUGACUGCCGGUGACAAACCGGAGGAAGGUGGGGAUGACGUCAAAUCAUCAUGCCCCUUAUGACCUGGGCUACACACGUGCUACAAUGGAUGGUACAAAGGGCUGCAAGACUGCGAAGUCAAGCCAAUCCCAUAAAACCAUUCUCAGUUCGGAUUGCAGG
Molecule: ribosomal RNA, 531 nt
Filed under: uncultured bacterium
Lineage: Bacteria
Description: bacterial SSU rRNA
Rfam family: Bacterial small subunit ribosomal RNA
Source: RNAcentral